This 212-nucleotide non-coding RNA is filed under the name Pseudomonas sp. Lineage: Bacteria; Pseudomonadati; Pseudomonadota; Gammaproteobacteria; Pseudomonadales; Pseudomonadaceae. RNAcentral also lists the same sequence under 1 other name. The record is from RNAcentral.
GCUACACACCUUGUUACGGGUGCCCCUCACGGGGUGAAACGGGAAACCGGUGCUGCUCAGGUCCAUUGACCAGACAAAGUCCGGUGCUGCCCCCGCAACGGUAAGCGAGCGAAAGGUCUAUCCACUGUGCGUACGCGCGGGAAGGCGAUCUUUGUCAGACACCCUGUGUGUCCCUCGCAAGCCCGGAGACCGGCCCGCAAUCACUUUAUUGG